Molecule: non-coding RNA, 31 nt
Filed under: Mus musculus (house mouse)
Lineage: Eukaryota; Metazoa; Chordata; Mammalia; Rodentia; Muridae
Source: RNAcentral
UUGGUAAUAGGUCAGUUAGACCCAGAGGGAG